UACAGAGGGUGCGAGCGUUGUCCGGAAUCACUGGGCGUAAAGAGCUCGUAGGCGGUUUGUCACGUCUGCUGUGAAAUCCCGAGGCUCAACCUCGGGCCUGCAGUGGGUACGGGCAGACUGGAGUGCGGUAGGGGAGAAUGGAAUUCCUGGUGUAGCGGUGGAAUGCGCAGAUAUCAGGAGGAACACCGAUGGCGAAGGCAGUUCUCUGGGCCGUAACUGACGCUGAGGAGCGAAAGCGUGGGGAGCGAACAGG
This 253-nucleotide ribosomal RNA is filed under the name uncultured bacterium. Its description in RNAcentral is "partial 16S ribosomal RNA". It matches the Rfam family "Bacterial small subunit ribosomal RNA", at positions 524 to 776 of the family's 1533-position model. The record is from RNAcentral.